RNAcentral lists this ribosomal RNA (394 nucleotides) under uncultured Anaeromyxobacter sp. Its description in RNAcentral is "bacterial SSU rRNA". It matches the Rfam family "Bacterial small subunit ribosomal RNA", at positions 67 to 447 of the family's 1533-position model. Lineage: Bacteria; Pseudomonadati; Myxococcota; Myxococcia; Myxococcales; Anaeromyxobacteraceae. The record is from RNAcentral.
CGAGAAAGCCCGCAAGGGUGAGUACAGCGGCGCACGGGUGCGUAACACGUGGGUAGUCUGCCCUGGAGCCCGGAAUAACUCCCCGAAAGGGGUGCUAAUGCCGGAUGAGCCCACGGGGUCUUCGGACCCUGAGGGAAAAGGUGGCCUCUGCAUGCAAGCUAUCACUUCAGGAUGGGCCCGCGGCCCAUCAGCUAGUCGGCGGGGUAAUGGCCCACCAAGGCUACGACGGGUAGCUGGUCUGAGAGGACGAUCAGCCACACUGGAACUGAGACACGGUCCAGACUCCUACGGGAGGCAGCAGUGGGGAAUCUUGCGCAAUGGGCGAAAGCCUGACGCAGCAACGCCGCGUGUGUGAUGAAGGUCUUCGGAUCGUAAAGCACUGUCGCGAGGGACG